RNAcentral lists this ribosomal RNA (253 nucleotides) under uncultured bacterium. RNAcentral describes it as "partial 16S ribosomal RNA". It matches the Rfam family "Bacterial small subunit ribosomal RNA", at positions 524 to 776 of the family's 1533-position model. The record is from RNAcentral.
UACGUAGGGUGCGAGCGUUGUCCGGAAUUAUUGGGCGUAAAGGGCUCGUAGGCGGUUUGUCGCGUCGGGAGUGAAAACUCAGGGCUUAACCCUGAGCCUGCUUCCGAUACGGGCAGACUAGAGGUAUGCAGGGGAGAAUGGAAUUCCUGGUGUAGCGGUGAAAUGCGGAGAUAUCAGGAGGAACACCGGUGGCGAAGGCGGUUCUCUGGGCAUUACCUGACGCUGAGGAGCGAAAGUGUGGGGAGCGAACAGG